This 27-nucleotide non-coding RNA is filed under the name Bombyx mori (domestic silkworm). Lineage: Eukaryota; Metazoa; Arthropoda; Insecta; Lepidoptera; Bombycidae. The record is from RNAcentral.
UCAGAAUAAAAGCACACUUUGGAUGUG